Molecule: long non-coding RNA, 306 nt
Organism: Oncorhynchus keta (chum salmon)
Lineage: Eukaryota; Metazoa; Chordata; Actinopteri; Salmoniformes; Salmonidae
Exons: 3
Source: RefSeq, a predicted model, not a curated record
GUUCUCCACAGCUACCUGGAUACGAGGUGUUCUCCACAGCUACCUGGAUACGAGGUGUUCUCCACAGCUACCUGGAUACGAGGUGUUCUCCACAGCUACCUGGAUACGAGGUGUUCUCCACAGCUACCUGGAUACGAGGUGUUCUCCACAGCUACCUGGAUACGAGGUGUUCUCCACAGCUACCUGGAUACGAGGUGUUCUCCACAGCUACCUGGAUACGAGGUGUUCUCCACAGCUACCUGGAUACGAGGUGUUCUCCACAGCUACCUGGAUACGAGGUGUUCUCCACAGCUACCUGGAUACGAG